GGUGAAUGUGUAUUGAGUUCAGCAUGUUUCUGGUUUACACACAGCUUUCAGGGGGAAAUUAAAUAGUUUUACAAAGCCGAAAGGUUGUCCGACUUACGAUGUAUGAAUUUUAUGUCAUAAGAAAUUGGAUGCGAGCGUCCACCAGGAAUAUUUCGAUCGAAAUACAGAUUUCUCUUGAAUCCGAGAUGUUAUUCAUCAGCUGAUUAUAGAGGAGGAGUUUUGUCAUUGAUGGGAACCAACGUCAUAUUUAUGAUAUUGUGGCUGCAUCACUUUUGUUUGGCAGAGGUACAAGAGAACCAGUAACACAGAUAAAAGAUGCAGUUCCUAAGAGAUCCAAAGUCAGCAGCGCCUAAGACUAUACUGAUCAUGACUUUGAAUUAUCAGCAUCCAAAACAAUGCAAAUCAA
This is a long non-coding RNA of Saccostrea cuccullata (small rock oyster), 406 nucleotides long. RefSeq lists it as uncharacterized. The transcript is spliced from 3 exons. NCBI's taxonomy places the organism in Eukaryota, Metazoa, Mollusca, Bivalvia, Ostreida, Ostreidae. The record is from RefSeq and is a predicted model, not a curated record.